CAUCUCCACCUCCUCCACCUCCUCCUCCUCCAGCAGCAGGAACCUCUGACUGUCACACCACCCUGUUCGGACCCGCUUGGCUCCUCUGUGGUUCCGCUCCAGCAGGAGGCGCUGUGCUGCAUGGAAGCUGGUGUGUGUGUGAACACAAAGAAGCAAAUAAACAGGAGGAAGAGAAAAAGAAGGUUCAACAUGGACUGAGACACAGGAGUGUGUUACAGGUGUGUGAAGAGGUGGAAUGUGUGGAGAAAACUCUGCUGAAAAGACGAGCUGAGCUGCGUCAGGCUGACCGGCUGCUGCUGGAGGCUCAGAGCUGCAUACACACCUCCAGAGACCAGGCCAAUGAAGCUCAGUGGAAGGCGGAGGUGUUGUGGGGCCGAGCGGAGGACGGCGUCGUCUGUGUGCUGGAGGCCAGGCAGCAGAUCAGGGAGCUGCAGCAGAAUGUGGAGCACCUCGGCAGGAGAAGGCAGGAGGAGGAGCUAACUGUUAAAGACAUGGAAGAGACUCUGAGGAGCAGGGAGCAGGAGGUCCAGCAACUCAGCUCCGAAAUACACAUGGCUGCAGACAGGCUGGCCGGCGUGCUGUCUGACUGUCAGGAGGCUCACAGACGUCUGGCCUCUCUCUGCUGUCAGGAGGAGGUGCAGCAGAGGCUGGUCCAGAGGAAGGAGGAGCACCACCAUGCACUGACCAGGGUGGAGGAGGUCAGACAGGAGGAGAUACGACUGCAUGCCGCUGUCAAGGAUCUGUUGGAGCAGCAGGAGGUGCUGUUGGCUCAGAGGAGCUCUGCCAUGUCUGCAGUGAGGGAGGAGCAGCAGCGGCUGGUCGCCCUGAGGACGGAGCUCAGCACACACAGAGCUGGUAACACCGACAGGAACAUGGAUCAGUCAGAGUACUGA
This is a long non-coding RNA of Parambassis ranga (Indian glassy fish), 893 nucleotides long. The record is from Ensembl. Lineage: Eukaryota; Metazoa; Chordata; Actinopteri; Ambassidae.